Molecule: long non-coding RNA, 366 nt
Organism: Salvia miltiorrhiza (redroot sage)
Lineage: Eukaryota; Viridiplantae; Streptophyta; Magnoliopsida; Lamiales; Lamiaceae
Exons: 2
Source: RefSeq, a predicted model, not a curated record
AGGAUUAACACUGCUAUUCCGAUUCAGAAAUAAAGUUAAACGACAGGCUUUGCCUAGACAGGUUAAUGGCUGGUGAUGACGGGGCAGAGCUGAGGCUAGGGUUCAACUCCGUAUUUUGUCUUCCGCUAUUGCACUAGCUUUUAUUUGUCUUUUGUUUCUCCAACUUAAGACUUUUAUGUUAAAUUCUGAAUUAUGUUUUUAUCGAGCUUAAACUCUCAACUUCUAGCUCUAUGUUAUUUAACGUUGGUUAUCGGAAGCAUGAAACCGAACUUGUGAUCCUAAGGCUUUGAAUGUUGUUGAUUGAUUAGUAUCACUUGAUUUCUAUCUUUCUUCAUUCAAAGGGCAUUGCCCAACAUUUUUAUUCUA